Long non-coding RNA from Mytilus californianus (California mussel), 1758 nucleotides. RefSeq lists it as uncharacterized. The record is from RefSeq and is a predicted model, not a curated record. NCBI's taxonomy places the organism in Eukaryota, Metazoa, Mollusca, Bivalvia, Mytilida, Mytilidae. The transcript is spliced from 5 exons.
AUAUUUUUUUCUUAUAUCUUUUGACAUAAUAUGUUCAUAUUAUUGGCAGAUAGCACCUCAUGAUUGAAGGGAAGUAUGGCUUUAGAAGAAUUUUUUCAGAAGUUUCUCGAUGUCCAAACCAUUAAAUAUAAAAUGUGUGCCAAAGAAAGCAGCACAGUACCUAGUUCAGAUAAUAAUCCUUACUCAAGGUAAUCUGAUUGUUCCAUAGCGAUUAACUAACAGAUAAUAAUCCUUACUCAAGGUAAUCUGAUUGUUCCAUAGCCAUUAACUAACAGAUAAUAAUCCUUACUCAAGGUAAUCUGAUUGUUCCAUAGCCAUUAACUAACAGAUAAUAAUCCUUACUCAAGGUAAUCUGAUUGUUCCAUAUCCAUUAACUAACAGAUAAUAAUCCUUACUCAAGGUAAUCUGAUUGUUCCAUAGCCAUUAACUAACAGAUAAUAAUCCUUACUCAAGGUAAUCUGAUUGUUCCAUAUCCAUUAACUAACAGAUAAUAAUCCUUUCUCAAGGUAAUCUGAUUGUUCCAUAUCCAUUAACUAACAGAAAAUAAUCCUUUCUCAAGGUAAUCUGAUUGUUCCAUAGCCAUUAACUAACAGAUAAUAAUCCUUACUCAAGGUAAUCUGAUUGUUCCAUAGCCAUUAACUAACAGAUAAUAAUCCUUACUCAAGGUAAUCUGAUUGUUCCAUAGCCAUUUACUAACAGAUAAUAAUCCUUACUCAAGGUAAUCUGAUUGUUCCAUAGCCAUUUACUAACAGAUAAUAAUCCUUACUCAAGGUAAUCUGAUUGUUCCAUAGCCAUUAACUAACAGAUAAUAAUCCUUACUCAAGGUAAUCUGAUUUUUCCAUAGCCAUUAACUAACAGAUAAUAAUAAAUAAUCCUUACUCAAGGUAAUCUGAUUGUUCCAUAUCCAUUAACUAACAGAAAAUAAUCCUUACUCAAGGUAAUCUGAUUGUUCCAUAGAGAUUAACUAACAGAAAAUAAUCCUUACUCAAGGUAAUCUGAUUGUUCCAUAUCUAUUGUUCCAUAUCCAUUAACUAACAGAAAAUAAUCCUUUCUCAAGGUAAUCUGAUUGUUCCAUAUCCAUUAACUAACAGAAAAUAAUCCUUUCUCAAGGUAAUCUGAUUGUUCCAUAGCCAUUUACUAACAGAAAAUAAUCCUUUCUCAAGGUAAACUGAUUGUUCCAUAUCCAUUAACUAACAGAUAAUAAUAAAUAAUCCUUACUCAAGGUAAUCUGAUUGUUUCAUAUCCAUUAACUAACAGAUAAUAAUCCUUACUCAAGGUAAUCUGAUUGUUCCAUAGCCAUUAACUAACAGAAAAUAAUCCUUACUCAAGGUAACCCGAUUGUUCCAUAGCCAUUAACUAAGCUGUUUUAGAAAAUUUUGUUUAUUCUUGAUCAUUUCUAUGGAAUAGACUACCAUACUAAAUGUGUAAAGUGCAAAACACUUUUACUUUUAAAUAAAGUAGUUGACAUAGUCAUGACAAUUUCAUAUAUGCUUGUAACUGUUUGUGAAAUGUAUUAUUUUGAUUUGUUUAUUAUAUUUUUUAUUUUUGUUACUACAUGCACCUCUUUAACUGUAUAUCUUUUAUAAAGAUAUAUUAAACUAUAUGAUUGUAAAUUAACUAUGUUUGAAUAUCUGUUUUAGAUUUUAUUGUAUGUGAGGAACUCAGGAAAGAUUAGUUUGUCGUAAUUAAUUGUACUGUGUUUCUUUCUUUAAGAAUAAAGAAUUUAUUAUUAUUAUUAAUAUUAUUGUCAUACAAUUU